Small nucleolar RNA from Eptesicus fuscus (big brown bat), 136 nucleotides. RefSeq annotates it as small nucleolar RNA SNORA42/SNORA80 family. The transcript has a single exon. NCBI's taxonomy places the organism in Eukaryota, Metazoa, Chordata, Mammalia, Chiroptera, Vespertilionidae. The record is from RefSeq and is a predicted model, not a curated record.
GCGUGGUCGUGGAUUUAUGGUGGGCCCUUCGCUGUGGGCCUCUCAUAGGGUUCCCAUGCAGAGGAAACUGCAGCCUGGAACCAUGGCCCAGCCUCCUCAGCUGUGGGCUGGGAGCACUGAAGGGGGUUGUACAGUG